AUACGGAGGGUGCAAGCGUUACGCGGAAUCACUGGGCGUAAAGCGCGCGCAGGCGGCUAUUUAAGUUGGAUGUGAAAGCCUACGGCUCAACCGUAGAACUGCAUCCAAAACUAUUUAGCUAGAGUGUGAGAGAGGAAGAUGGAAUUAGUUGUGUAGGGGUAAAAUCCGUAGAGAUAACUAGGAAUACCAAAAGCGAAGGCAAUCUUCUGGAACACUACUGACGCUGAGGCGCGAAAGCGUGGGGAGCAAACAGAAUUAGAAACCCUAGUAGUCC
RNAcentral lists this ribosomal RNA (274 nucleotides) under uncultured bacterium. RNAcentral's name for it is "partial 16S ribosomal RNA". It matches the Rfam family "Bacterial small subunit ribosomal RNA", at positions 523 to 796 of the family's 1533-position model. The record is from RNAcentral.